This is a long non-coding RNA of Balaenoptera acutorostrata (minke whale), 905 nucleotides long. RefSeq lists it as uncharacterized. The record is from RefSeq and is a predicted model, not a curated record. The transcript has 3 exons. Lineage: Eukaryota; Metazoa; Chordata; Mammalia; Artiodactyla; Balaenopteridae.
GGGAAAAGGUGGAGCCCUUACAAGGAGGCCCCAGGAUGGCAUUGUGGGAGUUGUAGUCCAUCUCCUCCUAAGAGCCUGAACAAACGGCGGAUAAGCGGGCGGGCGGGGCUUUUGUGCCCAGCAAGAAUCAUAGACUAAGUGGCGAGAAGCGCCCACCAGGGAAGAGGCAGAAGCGCGAGAUCAUGUGUGAUGUGGAAUCCACGGAUAAGGAGGGCCGAUUGUGCUCUAAGAUGAUUGUUACAAGGCACACUCACCAACGCUUGAGGCAAUCGAGGUUAUACAGUCACCGUUGCAGAACUGAAAGCAGAUUCUUCACGACCUUCUAGGCACCAGGUGCUGAGACAGAGAACUCAACAAUGAACAAGAUACGCUCCCAGUCUUAGAUGGUGGUUCUUAAACUUUAUUGUGCAUCAGGAUCACCUGGAAGGCUUGUUAAAACACAGACUGCUGGGCCCACCCCCCAGAGUUUCUGAUUCAGUUAAGUCUAGGAUCAGGCUUGAGAAUUUGCAUUUCUGACAAGUUCCCAGGUGAUGCUGAUGUUGCUGGUUCGGGGACCACACGUCUCCUGAAGUUGUUUUAACACUAUUGUGGAAGGACUUUAUUCCUGCUAUAAGGAUUCCAAGAACUGAUGGGAGAAGUAUAUUUUCUGGACAGCAUGCUUGGCCAAGUCUCUAAAGCACACUUAUGCUGCCCGCCCUGGGCCACAAACAGCACAUCAUCUUCCUGGCGUCUCAAGAAAUGUCACUGCACCCUCUUUCCCCUUCUAACUUGUGGUUGUGUAUCUUUCAAUUUAUUCCAUUAAAACUUUAGCUCCUCUAUACAUCCUAUUUGGUGUACACCCUAUACAAAAUGUCAACAGCAGGUUUUCUCUGAUAUUGGAAUUAUGGUUAAUUUUUAAAUCUUUU